AUACGUAGGGAGCGAGCGUUGUCCGGAAUUACUGGGCGUAAAGGGCGCGUAGGCGGCGCUUCAAGUCGUCUGUCAAAUGGGAGGGCUUAACCCUUUUUCGCAGACGAAACUGGAGAGCUUGAGAAGCAGAGAGGCAAACAGAAUUCCUGGUGUAGCGGUGAAAUGCGUAGAUAUCAGGAAGAAUACCAGUGGCGAAGGCGGUUUGCUGGCUGCAUACUGACGCUGAAGCGCGAAAGCCAGCGGAGCAAACGGGAUUAGAUACCCCGGUAGUCGUGGCAGUAAGCGAUGUAUGCUGUGUGUGAGACUACCGAUAGUUACGUGCCGAAGUUAACGCGAUAAGCAUACCGCCUGGGGAGGACGGUCGCAAGAUUGAAACACAAAUGAAUUGACGGGG
This 394-nucleotide ribosomal RNA is filed under the name uncultured bacterium. Its description in RNAcentral is "partial 16S ribosomal RNA". It matches the Rfam family "Bacterial small subunit ribosomal RNA", at positions 523 to 918 of the family's 1533-position model. The record is from RNAcentral.